ACCAUGGUCAGUGGCUAGAGCCGCCGC
This 27-nucleotide small RNA is filed under the name Bombyx mori (domestic silkworm). RNAcentral describes it as "ovarian small RNA-11245". Lineage: Eukaryota; Metazoa; Arthropoda; Insecta; Lepidoptera; Bombycidae. The record is from RNAcentral.